Molecule: ribosomal RNA, 332 nt
Filed under: uncultured bacterium
Lineage: Bacteria
Description: bacterial SSU rRNA
Rfam family: Bacterial small subunit ribosomal RNA
Source: RNAcentral
AGAGUUUGAUCCUGGCUCAGAACGAACGCUGGCGGCAGGCUUAACACAUGCAAGUUGAACGGGAUUAAUUUAGUGCUUGCACUAAAUUAUGAGAGUAGCGCACGGGUGAGUAAUACAUGGGAACCUAUCCUGAAGUGGGGGACAACAGUUGGAAACGACUGCUAAUACCGCAUACGCCCCGAGGGGGAAAGAUUUAUCGCUUUAGGCAGGGCCCAUGGCAGAUUAGGCAGUUGGUGAGGUAACGGCUCACCAAACGACGAUCUGUAGCUGGUCUGAGAGGACGAUCAGCCACACUGGAACCUGAGACACGGUCCAGACUCCUACGAGAGGCA